GACGAACGCUGGCGGCGUGCUUAACACAUGCAAGUCGAACGAAGUGGCGAACGGGUGAGUAACGCAUAAUCAACCUGCCCUUCAGAGGGGGACAACAGUUGGAAACGACUGCUAAUACCGCAUACUGAGGGAAGGGAUGGCGUCAGAUGAGCUAGUUGGAGGGGUAACGGCCCAACAAGGCGAUUAUCAGAAGCCGGUUAGAGAGGAUGAACGGCCACAUUGGGACUGAGACACGGCCCAGACUCCUACUGGAGGCAGCAGUGGGGAAUAUUGGUCAAUGGGCGGUAGCCUGAACCAGCCAAGUAGCGUGAAGGAUGAAGGUCUAUGGGUCGUAAACUUCUUUUAUAUAAGAAUAUGUAUUAUAUGAAUAAGGAUCGGCUAACUCCGUGCCAGCAGCCGCGGUAAUUC
This 408-nucleotide ribosomal RNA is filed under the name uncultured bacterium. RNAcentral describes it as "partial 16S ribosomal RNA". It matches the Rfam family "Bacterial small subunit ribosomal RNA", at positions 28 to 526 of the family's 1533-position model. The record is from RNAcentral.